AAGAAAUUAGUUAAUUUAUAAUACUUGCUUGUCAUGCUUGAGUAAUCUCUUAGAUAUUUCUUA
This 63-nucleotide transfer RNA is filed under the name Jonas distinctus. RNAcentral describes it as "tRNA-Asp". The record is from RNAcentral. Lineage: Eukaryota; Metazoa; Arthropoda; Malacostraca; Decapoda; Corystidae.